This is a small nuclear RNA of Nannospalax galili (Upper Galilee mountains blind mole rat), 104 nucleotides long. The record is from RefSeq and is a predicted model, not a curated record. NCBI's taxonomy places the organism in Eukaryota, Metazoa, Chordata, Mammalia, Rodentia, Spalacidae.
UCUAGCAUCAAAACCUUAAACAAAGCCAACUAACGAUACAGAGAUGAUUUGCAUGGCCCCUGUGCAAGGAUGACACUCAAAUUCAUGAAGCAUUCCAUAUUUUG